GUAGUAUUCCCUCCGUCCCAAAAUUCUUGUCUUACAUUCGUUUAGAUACAGAUGUAUCUAACACUAAAAUGUAACUAGAUACAUCCGUUUAAGACAAGAAUUUUGGGACGGAGGGAGUACAAA
This is a non-coding RNA of Triticum aestivum (bread wheat), 123 nucleotides long. The record is from Rfam. Lineage: Eukaryota; Viridiplantae; Streptophyta; Magnoliopsida; Poales; Poaceae.